RNAcentral lists this ribosomal RNA (253 nucleotides) under uncultured bacterium. RNAcentral describes it as "partial 16S ribosomal RNA". It matches the Rfam family "Bacterial small subunit ribosomal RNA", at positions 524 to 776 of the family's 1533-position model. The record is from RNAcentral.
UACAGAGGGUGCGAGCGUUGUCCGGAAUUAUUGGGCGUAAAGCGCAUGUAGGCGGCUUGUUAAGUCGCGUGUGAAAGCUCCAGGCUCAACCUGGAAAGUGCGCGCGAAACUGGCGAGCUUGAGUGCCGGAGAGGGUGGCGGAAUUCCCGGUGUAGAGGUGAAAUUCGUAGAUAUCAGGAGGAACACCGGUGGCGAAGGCGGGUCUCUGGGCCGAUACUGACGCUGAGGAGCGAAAGCGUGGGGAGCGAACAGG